Molecule: ribosomal RNA, 201 nt
Filed under: uncultured bacterium
Lineage: Bacteria
Description: partial 16S ribosomal RNA
Rfam family: Bacterial small subunit ribosomal RNA
Source: RNAcentral
ACGCUCGACACCUACGGGAGGCAGCAGUGGGGAAUAUUGGGCAAUGGGCGAAAGCCUGACCCAGCAACGCCGCGUGAGGGAAGAAGGUUUUCGGAUUGUAAACCUCUGUCCUCAGGGACGAAGGACGUGACGGUACCUGAGGAGGAAGCCCCGGCUAACUACGUGCAAGCAGCCGCGGUAAUCUGAGCGGGCUGGCAAGGC